UACAGAGGCCUCAAGCGUUAGGCGGAAUCACUGGGCUUAAAGCGCGUGUAGGCGGAUCGUUAAGUGUCUUGUGAAAUCCCACGGCUCAACCGUGGAACUGCUGGGCAUACUGGCGAUCUUGGGCCACUCAGGGGCAACCGGAACAAGCGGUGGAGCGGUGAAAUGCGUAGAUAUCGCUUGGAACGCCAAAGGUGAAGACAGGUUGCUGGGGGUGUGCCGACGCUGGAGACGCGAAAGCCAGGGGAGCAAACGGG
This 254-nucleotide ribosomal RNA is filed under the name uncultured bacterium. Its description in RNAcentral is "partial 16S ribosomal RNA". It matches the Rfam family "Bacterial small subunit ribosomal RNA", at positions 524 to 776 of the family's 1533-position model. The record is from RNAcentral.